Molecule: ribosomal RNA, 484 nt
Filed under: uncultured bacterium
Lineage: Bacteria
Description: partial 16S ribosomal RNA
Rfam family: Bacterial small subunit ribosomal RNA
Source: RNAcentral
AUUGAACGCUGGCGGCAGGCCUAACACAUGCAAGUCGAGCGGAUGAAGGGAGCUUGCUCCUGGAUUCAGCGGCGGACGGGUGAGUAAUGCCUAGGAAUCUGCCUGGUAGUGGGAGAUAACGUCCGGAAACGGGCGCUAAUACCGCAUACGUCCUGAGGGAGAAAGUGGGGGAUCUUCGGACCUCACGCUAUCAGAUGAGCCUAGGUCGGAUUAGCUAGUUGGUGGGGUAAAGGCCUACCAAGGCGACGAUCCGUAACUGGUCUGAGAGGAUGAUCAGUCACACUGGAACUGAGACACGGUCCAGACUCCUACGGGAGGCAGCAGUGGGGAAUAUUGGACAAUGGGCGAAAGCCUGAUCCAGCCAUGCCGCGUGUGUGAAGAAGGUCUUCGGAUUGUAAAGCACUUUAAGCUGGGAGGAAGGGCAGUAAGUUAAUACCUUGCUGUUUUGACGUUACCAACAGAAUAAGCACCGGCUAACUUCGUG